UACGUAGGUGGCAAGCGUUGUCCGGAUUUACUGGGCGUAAAGAGCGCGCAGGCGGUCGUUCAAGUCGCGUGUGAAAGCCCCCGGCUCAACUGGGGAGGGUCACGCGAUACUGAUCGACUCGAAGGCAGGAGAGGGUAGUGGAAUUCCCGGUGUAGUGGUGAAAUGCGUAGAUAUCGGGAGGAACACCAGUGGCGAAGGCGACUACCUGGCCUGUUCUUGACGCUGAGGCGCGAAAGCUAGGGGAGCAAAGGGG
RNAcentral lists this ribosomal RNA (253 nucleotides) under uncultured bacterium. RNAcentral's name for it is "partial 16S ribosomal RNA". It matches the Rfam family "Bacterial small subunit ribosomal RNA", at positions 524 to 776 of the family's 1533-position model. The record is from RNAcentral.